UUGUGAAAAAUUGCAAUACCAAUCACCCUAUUUUGGGCCAAGAAUAUGAAAACACAAAAUGGUCUGAUUAGGGGCAAACUUUCGAAUACCCAUUUCUGGCGUAAAUCAUGAUCCUACACCCUUCUAAAUAAGCUAACUUACUGAGGCUGCCUCCACACCAGACUAACUGCUAAGGAACUAUUUCUCGACCACGUAAUUUACUAAACAAAACUAAACCUAACAUUGUCCGAAUGGUAGGUAGGGUAAGGCCCUAACCAUACCUCAGGUGAAUGCACAAGAUAAAAAUGUGGUUCAAAAGGCAAUUAUACCGUUUAUUUUCCUCAUUUCAUUCAGCUCUGUUGCUUCUUUAGGAAGGCUGAAUGAAAGGUAUCGUAUAUCGAAAUGUUUAUAUAUUCAACUAUUCCACCCGACUAACUUUUUAUUGUUGGAUAACAUGUAUUUAGUUCCUAUUUACUAAAAACAAAAUACCUGUACAAUUUCUGUAUUUAACUUAGUUUUCUCAGGGAUAUGCUAUAUAAGAUAAACGAUGGUGCUCCCAUCUGUUGCUUGAGAUUACUAAAAUGUUCGCGUAAUCAAACUUAUUCUCUUUACCACUGAUCGGCUCGUUAGCCGCUUGGGCGAUCGGUUACAAGAAAUAUGGCCUUUAUUUUUGCCUUGCACUCGUUCUCGAAUCCUCAUUGGUCCCGUGCUGGCUGGAGAGUCAAGUGUCCCGUGCUGGCGGGUUGGUUUAAAGUGUCCCGUGCAGGUGGGAGAGUUUGUGUCCCGUGCUGGGAGGUGAAUAUUUUAAUUCUAUUCACAAUCAAAAGUUUUUAAAUGUUUCAAGGUUUACUUAAAGUAAUUGCCAUUCAACGAUUUUUUUCCAUUCCAAAUGAUUGACGGAGAAUCCAGUUGCCGGUUAGUUUACUUGAAUUAUGUAGAUCUGGGAGUAUGUUCCUGUAACUACAAGAUCUGGGAGAAUGUUGCUGGACCUACAAGAUCUGGGGGAAUGUUGCUGGAACUACGGGAUCUGGGAGAAUGUUGCUGUACCAGAUAUGAGAACUACUUACAGGUGAUCAAUAAGGAUCUCUUGUUGAUGCCUGGUGUUACUUCAGCUCAUUUCAUAAAUUUUGAGGUUACCAAUUCAUGGGAUGGAGGAGGAGGAAGAGGAGACGUCACCUUCCAUACAACAAACUACUGUACUUUUAAUGCCAAGUCAGAUGCUAAAAGUAAAGUUUGUGAUGACUGACUUGCUGCACCAGGAACAACUGAAGUUUUAUUCUGAAGAGGACUGCCGUGCUGCCCUGCUCUGGCGCCUGUUUUGCUGUGCUGCCCUGCCUGCCGCCCGUUUUGCCCUGCACUAACAAAAAAUAAUGUAUUGAGCCAUUACAUUAUUCAGUAAUAAAUGUAUAAAUGUC
This is a long non-coding RNA of Homarus americanus (American lobster), 1394 nucleotides long. RefSeq lists it as uncharacterized. Lineage: Eukaryota; Metazoa; Arthropoda; Malacostraca; Decapoda; Nephropidae. The transcript is spliced from 3 exons. The record is from RefSeq and is a predicted model, not a curated record.